RNAcentral lists this ribosomal RNA (255 nucleotides) under uncultured bacterium. RNAcentral describes it as "partial 16S ribosomal RNA". It matches the Rfam family "Bacterial small subunit ribosomal RNA", at positions 524 to 776 of the family's 1533-position model. The record is from RNAcentral.
UACAGAGGUCUCAAGCGUUGUUCGGAUUCAUUGGGCGUAAAGGGCGCGUAGGCGGUCGUGACAAGUCACUUGUGAAAUCUCCGGGCUUAACUCGGAACGGUCAAGUGAUACUGUCGGACUAGAGUACAGAAGGGGGCAACUGGAAUUCUCGGUGUAGCGGUGAAAUGCGUAGAUAUCGCUUGGAACGCCAAAGGUGAAGACAGGUUGCUGGAGAUAUGCCGACACUGAGACGCGAAAGCCAGGGGAGCAAACGGG